This 110-nucleotide ribosomal RNA is filed under the name Phascolarctos cinereus (koala). The record is from RNAcentral. Lineage: Eukaryota; Metazoa; Chordata; Mammalia; Diprotodontia; Phascolarctidae.
ACUGUACCAUUUUGAAUGACCCGUGUCAUCCCAUCAAGGAAGCUAAGGUCAGGCAGACCUGGUUGGUACUUGGGUGGGAGGCUGCCUGAGAGCGCUGGACACUAGAAGUU